This is a long non-coding RNA of Fundulus heteroclitus (mummichog), 1799 nucleotides long. RefSeq lists it as uncharacterized. The record is from RefSeq and is a predicted model, not a curated record. The transcript is spliced from 5 exons. NCBI's taxonomy places the organism in Eukaryota, Metazoa, Chordata, Actinopteri, Cyprinodontiformes, Fundulidae.
CAGGUUAAAACUAAAGGUUAAAAUGUUUUAAACUGUGGAUUAAAACUAAAUGUUUAAACUGCAGGUUAAAACUAAAGGUUUGAAAGGCAUAAACUGCAGGUUAUUCAAAGGUUUAGUUUAAACUGCGGGUUAAAACUAAAGGUUUAAAUGGUUUAAAAGGUUUAAACUGCGGGUUAUUCAAAGGUUUAGUUUAAACUGUGGGUUAAAACUAAAUGUUUAAAAGGUUUAAAAGGUUUAAACUGCCGGGUAAAACUAAAGGUUUAAAUGUUUUAAACUGUAGGUUAAAACUAAAGUGUCUAAAGGUUUAAAUUCUUUAAAUGACAGAUAUACUUCAGUUUGUUCUAAAAUCUGCUACCAGUAACUGAUCACACUUACUGGAGUCUUGAUCAAUAAAACAAUACGAGACUCGGUGAGAGGAAAAGUCAUUUAAUUACACUGAAUAUAAAAAAGGUAAAAAUUCACUUUGUAAAAAAAUCAUUUCCUUAAAGUAAAGGUCCCAGCAGAGGCUGGAUCAGUAAUGAUCAAUCGUUUCUCCGGUCGCAGCACGAAUAUUCAAACCAAACUUUAUUCGCACCGUCUUCCAGUGUCAAUAAGGCUAUUCACAUUCAUUUAAACAGGUCAUGUGACCCGGAUCAAUUUACAGGACCUUCCACCUGCUGUCAGGAUGCAGGAACCAGAACCGGCCCCUGACCCGAUCCAGGAUCGAUCCAGAACCACAAAGUCCAAACCGGAACCAGUGAGAUGGUUUCUGUAUCCGGACACAGGUGGAGGAAGUAAGCCCAUGUUUCUAAAGGCGUUGGGCGGGUCAGACAUGAUGAUGAUGAUGAUGAUGAUGAUGAUGAUGACGGGCUCCCACAGGAUCAAUCUGAGCUGAAAGGCCUCUGAGGUGAAGCAGGAGUGAAGGCAUUCAGGUGCACAGCAGUCCAUCACUAACUAACAGGUUAUUAUAAUUAACGUUCAGUCAUUUUCAGUAACCAUAGCAAACAGGCCACCAGAGGAAGAUGAUGAAGGCACAUGGGACUGCAGAAACCUGGCCAGAUACACCUGGUUUAGGCUCCGCCCCCGCAGGUGGAGGCCUCAGUGUUUGAACUUUUCAAUGUCGGAGAUCAGCGUUCGUGCCAGGUAGAUCCCCACCAUCUGACACCAGAGAGACAGAGACAGGUAAGGUCAGGUAAACUCUGGUAAGGUCAGGUAAACUCUGGUAAGGUCAGGUAAACUCAAGUAAGCUCAGGUAAGGUCAGGUAAGCUCAGGUAAGGUCAGGUAAACUCAGGUAAGCUCAUGUAAGCUCAGGUAUGCUCAGGUAAGGUCAGGUAUGGUCAGGUAAGCUCAGGUAUGGUCAGGUAAACUCAUGUAAGCUCAGGUAUGGUCAGGUAAGCCCAGGUAAACUCAGGUAUGGUCAGGUAAACUCAGGUAUGGUCAGGUAAACUCAGGUAAGCUCAGGUAAACUCAUGUAAGCUCAGGUAUGGUCAGGUAAGCUCAGGUAAACUCAGGUAUGGUCAGGUAAGCUCAGGUAUGGUCAGGUAAGCUCAGGUAUGGUCAGGUAUGGUCAGGUAAGCCCAGGUAAACUCAGGUAUGGUCAGGUAAACUCAGGUAUGGUCAGGUAAACUCAGGUAAGCUCAGGUAAACUCAUGUAAGCUCAGGUAUGGUCAGGUAAGCUCAGGUAAACUCAGGUAUGGUCAGGUAAGCUCAGGUAUGGUCAGGUAAACUCAUGUAAGCUCAGGUAUGGUCAGGUAAGCUCAGGUAUGGUCAGGUAAGCUCAGGUAUGGUCAGGUAUGGUCAGGUAAGCUCAGGUAUGGUC